CCUUCGGGUUGUAAAGCUCUUUCGGUCGGAAAGAAAGCUUGCCUGCGAAUAGUGGGUGAGGUUGACGGUACCGGCAGAAGAAGCACCGGCUAACUACGUGC
This 101-nucleotide ribosomal RNA is filed under the name uncultured bacterium. RNAcentral's name for it is "partial 16S ribosomal RNA". The record is from RNAcentral.